UGCCAGCCGCCGCGGUAAUACGGAGGGUGCAAGCGUUGUUCGGAAUUAUUGGGCGUAAAGCGCGUGUAGGCUAAAAUGGUAAAAAAAGAUUAAAGAACAAAGCUUAACUUUGUAAAUGUUUUUUUUGAAUAUUUUUAUGAGUUUAGUGGAAGAUAGUGGAAUUGCUAAUGGAAGGGUAAAAUUUUUAGAUAUUAGUAGGAAUAUCACAAGCGUAGGCAGCUAUCUUAAUUAAUACUGACGCUGAGGUACGAAAGUUUGGGUAGCAAACAGGAUUAGAUA
Molecule: ribosomal RNA, 279 nt
Filed under: uncultured bacterium
Lineage: Bacteria
Description: partial 16S ribosomal RNA
Rfam family: Bacterial small subunit ribosomal RNA
Source: RNAcentral